This 54-nucleotide transfer RNA is filed under the name Cryptochila pseudocclusa. Its description in RNAcentral is "partial tRNA-Phe". The record is from RNAcentral. Lineage: Eukaryota; Viridiplantae; Streptophyta; Jungermanniopsida; Jungermanniales; Jungermanniaceae.
GCCGGGAUAGCUCAGUUGGUAGACGCUACGACUGAAAAUCCUCGUGUCACCAGU